CUCUCCCUGCGAAUGGCAGACGUUAACGACCUGGUGUGCCGUAUACCUGAUGGCCACCCGCUGCUGGGUGUGCAUGUGCUGCAGAUAGCUUGCUGCCUCUUCGUGGAGCUGCACGCAGCAGAGGCUGAGAGAGCACUUAUUGAAGAUUAA
This 150-nucleotide long non-coding RNA is filed under the name Anas platyrhynchos platyrhynchos (common mallard). Its description in RNAcentral is "lncRNA (ENSAPLG00000020692.1)". Lineage: Eukaryota; Metazoa; Chordata; Aves; Anseriformes; Anatidae. The record is from RNAcentral.